RNAcentral lists this ribosomal RNA (497 nucleotides) under uncultured bacterium. RNAcentral describes it as "partial 16S ribosomal RNA". It matches the Rfam family "Bacterial small subunit ribosomal RNA", at positions 28 to 507 of the family's 1533-position model. The record is from RNAcentral.
GAUGAACGCUGGCGGCGUGCCUAAUACAUGCAAGUCGAGCGAACAGACGAGGAGCUUGCUCCUCUGACGUUAGCGGCGGACGGGUGAGUAACACGUGGAUAACCUACCUAUAAGACUGGGAUAACUUCGGGAAACCGGAGCUAAUACCGGAUAAUAUAUUGAACCGCAUGGUUCAAUAGUGAAAGACGGUUUUGCUGUCACUUAUAGAUGGAUCCGCGCCGCAUUAGCUAGUUGGUAAGGUAACGGCUUACCAAGGCAACGAUGCGUAGCCGACCUGAGAGGGUGAUCGGCCACACUAGAACUGAGACACGGUCCAGACUCCUACGGGAGGCAGCAGUAGGGAAUCUUACGCAAUGGGCGAAAGCCUGACGGAGCAACGCCGCGUGAGUGAUGAAGGUCUUCGGAUCGUAAAACUCUGUUAUUAGGGAAGAACAAAUGUGUAAGUAACUAUGCACGUCUUGACGGUACCUAAUCAGAAAGCCACGGCUAACUACGUG